This is a long non-coding RNA of Syngnathoides biaculeatus (alligator pipefish), 688 nucleotides long. RefSeq lists it as uncharacterized. The record is from RefSeq and is a predicted model, not a curated record. The transcript has 3 exons. Lineage: Eukaryota; Metazoa; Chordata; Actinopteri; Syngnathiformes; Syngnathidae.
GGGCCCUCCAUGGUGGUCUCACGUGAGCUCUCGCACUUUCUGUUUACCUUUCGCACGUGAGCCUGCCUGUGACAAAACGCACACUUUUCGGGAACGACGCAGAACGUCAGGGGUAGCCACAGCGUGUCCAUGAUCUUAAUCUACUUGGGUCCAAGUUAGCAGGAAUCAGAACUGCAUUCAUCAAGAUUGCAACUAACCCUCCAAGGCCAAGGGGGCUGGCUUCAUAUUCCUCGAGGUGAAACCUCUUCAUUGAGGCUACAAAAAUGAGGCCGGUUGACAUCACACGACCCAUUAAGGUCCAGCCAACAGGUGAGAGCGCAGCUGCAAGAAUCUGCAUACAUCUGUCAGAGGGCAGGCAGCGGAGAGUUGGGGGAAGUCACUGACAACUGGCUUCAUAAACUUCGGCUGUAGAUGUACGAGACUUAAGAUAAAUAGCGCCGUGCACGCACAGCCCCGGGGGCCCUGUCAACAUUCACGACCUCCAAAUAAUACCCUGAUUUGGGUUUCUUACACUGUGUAUUACCACUUGAAAUAUGAGCGUAAGGUGGAAUUUUUUUCUUUCUACCAUAUGCAGAACAAGUGUGCAAAGAUCUUGGGCCAUCGGCGUUUUAAUAACCCUUUUCACAACCCUCGUACUGACAUAGCAGAACAGCAAAAUCCAAGAGACUUGAUGACAGAAAAUAAACAU